UCCGGUUUGUCACCGGCAGUCACAUUAGAGUGCCCAACUAAAUGCUGGCAACUAAUAUCAAGGGUUGCGCUCGUUACGGGACUUAACCCAACAUCUCACGACACGAGCUGACGACAACCAUGCACCACCUGUCACCUCUGUCCCCGAAGGGAAAGCCUUAUCUCUAAGGCGGUCAGAGGGAUGUCAAGACCUGGUAAGGUUCUUCGCGUAGCUUCGAAUUAAACCACAUGCUCCACCGCUUGUGCGGGCCCCCGUCAAUUCUUUUGAGUUUCAGCCUUGCGGCCGUACUCCCCAGGCGGAGUGCUUAAUGCGUUAACUGCAGCACUAAGGGGCGGAAACCCCCUAACACCUAGCACUCAUCGUUUACGGCGUGGACUAC
Molecule: unclassified non-coding RNA, 379 nt
Filed under: uncultured Bacillaceae bacterium
Lineage: Bacteria; Bacillati; Bacillota; Bacilli; Caryophanales; Bacillaceae
Description: contains 16S-23S intergenic spacer region
Source: RNAcentral